This 497-nucleotide ribosomal RNA is filed under the name uncultured bacterium. RNAcentral describes it as "partial 16S ribosomal RNA". It matches the Rfam family "Bacterial small subunit ribosomal RNA", at positions 28 to 507 of the family's 1533-position model. The record is from RNAcentral.
GAUGAACGCUGGCGGCGUGCCUAAUACAUGCAAGUAGAGCGAACAGACGAGGCGCUUGCUCCCCUGACGAUAGCGGCGGACGUGUGAGUAACACGUGGAUAACCUACUUAUCUGACUGGGAUAACUUCGGGACACCGGGGCUAAUUACGGAUUACAUAUUAAACUGAAUUGUUCAAUGAUAAAAGAUGGUAUUGCUGAAUCUUAUCACUAGCUCCGGGCCGCAUUAGGUAUUUGGUAAGGUAACGGCUUACCAAGGCCACGAGCCGUAGUCGACAUGGGAGGGUGAUCGGCCACACUGGAACUGAAACACGGUCCAGACUCCUACGGGAGGCAGCAGAGGGGAAUCUUCCGCAAUGGGCGAAGGCCUGACGGGGAAACGCCGCGUGAUUGAGGAAGGUCUUCGAACGUAAAAACUCUGUUAUAAGGGAAGAACAAAUGUGUAAGGAACUAUGCACGUCUUGACGGUACCUAAUCAGAAAGCCACGGCUAACUACGUG